RNAcentral lists this ribosomal RNA (699 nucleotides) under uncultured bacterium. RNAcentral describes it as "bacterial SSU rRNA". It matches the Rfam family "Bacterial small subunit ribosomal RNA", at positions 8 to 682 of the family's 1533-position model. The record is from RNAcentral.
AGAGUUUGAUCCUGGCUCAGAUUGAACGCUGGCGGCAUGCCUAACACAUGCAAGUCGAACGGUAACAGGCCGCUCUGAUCCCUUCGGGGUGAAGUUGGUGCUGACGAGUGGCGGACGGGUGAGUAAUACGUAGGAAUCUGCCCAGAAGUGGGGGAUAACUCGAAGAAAUUCGAGCUAAUACCGCAUACGUCCCACGGGACAAAGCGGGGGAUCUUCGGACCUCGCGCUUUUGGAUGAGCCUACGUCGGAUUAGCUAGUUGGUAGGGUAAAGGCCUACCAAGGCGACGAUCCGUAGCUGGUUUGAGAGGAUGAUCAGCCACACUGGGACUGAGACACGGCCCAGACUCCUACGGGAGGCAGCAGUGGGGAAUAUUGGACAAUGGGCGCAAGCCUGAUCCAGCAAUGCCGCGUGUGUGAAGAAGGCCUGCGGGUUGUAAAGCACUUUUAUCGGGAAAGAAAUGUCCGGGGUUAAUAACCUUCGGAUCUUGACGGUACCCGUUGAAUAAGCACCGGCUAACUCAGUGCCAGCAGCCGCGGUAAUACUGAGGGUGCAAGCGUUAAUCGGAAUUACUGGGCGUAAAGCGAGUGUAGGCGGCUACGUAAGUCGGUUGUGAAAGCCCUGGGCUUAACCUGGGAACUGCAUCCGAUACUGCGUGGCUAGAGUCUGGUAGAGGGAAGUGGAAUUCCGGGUGUAGCGGU